UUGUGUUAUAUUCUCAGAAGCAAGAGAAGCACAGAACAGGAGCUCUUGAUUGGAAGUGAGGGGAGCAGGAGGCAGGUGCUGAAUAACUGCUUGCAGGCUACAGCUGUUUGUUGUGGUUGAGUUUAAAGACUGUUGCUGGAGAAAAGUUAGAGGUUUCUAUUGAAGGGUUCCCACAACCAAAAAAAAAAAAGAGUUGAUUUCAAAGUUAUUUAAGGACAAAAAAGCAAGCCCAGAUGUGCGUAUUAUCUAUACAUCAAUGUGCAUACAUAUGCUUCUCUAAAAGUAGUUUUUGACACUGACUUUAUUCUUUAUUUUACAUGUGAAAGGCAGCAUAGAAAGCAAAUGACUACUGAAUGGAAACAUUACAUAUUAAAAUAUUAUAGUUAUUUUUAUGAUUGUUACACCUUAACACCUGUGUUAAAACAGCAGUCUGGAUAGAAUCUUAGUUUGUGCUGCCUUUUAGCAGUACAUUCUCUUGAGCAGGGAUUGCAUAUUUGCAUCUAUUAGAAUAGUGCCUUCUCUAACGAAAUAUACAUAUACAAUAAUAAUCUUUAAAGGAGUACAUUGUCCUUCCUGUCAAAACUACAUUAGGACUGACUAAUAUGUCUAAUGAGAGUGCUGUUGUCAACACAGUGCUCCUCUCUUUUGUCAAUAGUCCUUUUUUUCCUGAAAACUGACUUGUACCUGAUAUAUAAAAAUUGUUGUACAACUUUCUUGUACAAUCAAAUGCUUUGUGCUACACUAUGUGGCCCAAAACACAUUUAGAAGAUAUAUAAUCUAUAUAAAUAUUCAAAACAAAAUUAGAAAUAAGGGUCACAAAAUUAGAAGUAAGUGUCCAUGCCAGGCUGAUUUCAGUCACGUCAGAACAUGUCUGCUGAUCUGGCUUUUUUUCUUCUUGUAGUACUGUGGACUCACUCCUAAGUAUUACCAAAAGCACUGGGACUUUGACUUCUCAGUAGUGAUGUUUCUCAAAUGUUUCCAUGGAAUUUAGAGAGCUCCUGCAGACAUAAUGCGUAGUCUGAUUUCACUUUAUUGGAAUCAUUUAAAAAUUGUAUAGCAGAAGAGUUCACCAGUAUUUUUUGUAUUAUCUUAAAACUUGUAAUAUGUUUUACUUAGAUUUAAUUCAAAUUUUUGUCCUAUUCCUAAGGAGUAACAUUCAACAUUCAAAAAGAAGCACUCUAGAUGGCACUCUGUUGGCAAUCUUAGCAGAGAAGCUGAAGAUUGAGUAACAAAAUUUCAUAAGGAUGUUUAGCAAAAUGCCUCAGAGCCUUAUCUGCUGCAGUUAAUUUCAAUUACUUUGUCCCUGAUUUUAGACUGUUGAUACAAGGACUUGGUCUCUCCAGCUACUUAUGUAACAUCACAUCCUGAUUCCUUUAAUAAAAAUACCCCCAUUUCUUAAAAUAUCUCCCAGGGCAGCUCAAAGUAUAUUAUUGAUUUGGUGGAGUUUGGCAUGUUCUGCAGAGUGGGAAUUUGAAUCUGUUCAGCAGAAUUUAGUUUGUUUUAAACAUUCUCUAAAUAUUCAAAUAUACUAUGAAAUGUUGUUAAUUAAAAAUACAACGAGCUUGUGAAUAAGAAGAAAAGAAGCAGUUAUCCAGAUUCACUGUGUCCCUUUGCUGUGAAUUUUCUCUAAAGAGAUGUCUGCAUAGAAAAUUAUUUAACAGGUCAUAGGCUUCAAAAGACAAUGAAGUUAUCAUCUGCUCUGAUCUCCCAUGGAAUUUGAGCACAUGGAUAUUCUAUGCUGGAGAGCUAAUUGAGUAUCUAUAGAAAAACAAUGUAAUUUUUUUCUUACGUUGUCUGUUACCUAGUUAACAUUUCUUAUUUUGCUUAUCACACUAAAUUUUUGUGUCUGUUUUUUAAUUUGAUUACAACUUCUUGGGAUGGCUGUUGGCUUUUUCAGUGUUUUUCUGCAAAGCCUAGCUUAACAAGGCAUGAAUCUGGGCUGUGGCCUUUACAUCUUGUCUCUCAUUACUGAUGAUAAUGUAUUGCCACUAAUUAUGAUAAAUUUUUCUGGUGGGGCUAUCUUUGACUUUCUUCAUGGUCAGUAGGAACUUGGAGGCAUAUGUCUAGUUAAAAAUAAAAUGCAAAUAUUGUACAGCACCCAUUAGGGUGGAGUACUCAGAUAACUUUAUAGACUAGAAAAGGAUACUAGAAAGAUCAAGUUUUCAGCCUCACAGAAGUCUUUAUAUAGUGUGCUCAGUGGCAAGAAGUACUGCAUUAGUAGGUGGAGAGGGGAAAUAUUAGAACAUUUUUUAAAUGUUGAUUAAUUGCUGUCAAGUUUUGUAUUUAAAACAAGAUCUGUGUUUAAAAAGAACUGAUCUAGGAGUCUGACCACAGACAAAUCAUGAACAAUGCCUGCCAUUGUAUGGGUACCACUAUCAUAAAAAGUCAUGGAGUAAGCAGCAACCUUCAGGAGGAUACAAAAUAAGAAGAUGUGAAAGACUGAGGGUGGAAGGACUUAAUGUUCCACAAAAGAUUGGAAUAAAAGAUUAAGAGAUGUUACUGAAACCACAUGCUAUUUUUUUCAGCUGUCAUACAACUGACAUAUAGCUAUAUGCCAUUUAUAUAGGAGCUAAUGAAAAGCUUUCCAAAGCACUGCAUGAAAAAAUGUGGUCACACUUGUUUCCCUUUCAUACAAAUGAUUUUUAGCACAGAAGACGACGUUUCCUGCAUUUUUCAUGAAUGUAGUUUCAGAAACCAAUGUAGUCAGUGAAAAUUUGCCUGGAAGAGCCAAUGGAACUAUUUUUCCUCUGCCUGGAAAGCACUCAGGCCUUUAGGAGAAGAGGAUUCAUCUUGUCUAUUUUCAGACAUCUAUAUUUGAGAUGUCUGCCUUGGGGUGAGAUGAACUGAACGCUUGAAGGGUCUGUUUCUCUCUGCUGACUUUAAAAAAAGUCUAGCUGACUAGCUCAUGUGUAGAUGGCUGCAUUUUGUCAGGUGAAUCUCACUCUGGAAAUCAACAGUAAAAUGUUGUCCUCUGCCAAUGUGUAGAGGAAGAAGAAAACAGAUGGUACAGGAAAAUUUUUGGUGUGGUGGUCUUUUCCUCCCAGUGUAAUGCUAAUGGGAUCCAUCCACAGCAGUAGAUCUACUAACUAUAUAACCAUCCUGCUGACAGGAAUUUCAAAAAAGCAAGGACUUCAGCAAAGCAAGGCUGAU
This is a long non-coding RNA of Harpia harpyja (harpy eagle), 3150 nucleotides long. RefSeq lists it as uncharacterized. The record is from RefSeq and is a predicted model, not a curated record. The transcript is spliced from 2 exons. NCBI's taxonomy places the organism in Eukaryota, Metazoa, Chordata, Aves, Accipitriformes, Accipitridae.